This 392-nucleotide ribosomal RNA is filed under the name uncultured bacterium. Its description in RNAcentral is "bacterial SSU rRNA". It matches the Rfam family "Bacterial small subunit ribosomal RNA", at positions 976 to 1381 of the family's 1533-position model. The record is from RNAcentral.
UAGCCUUGACAUACUACAGAAUUUGACAGAGAUGUUGAAGUGCCUUCGGGAGCUGUAAUACAGGUGCUGCACGGCUGUCGUCAGCUCGUGUCGUGAGAUGUUGGGUUAAGUCCCGCAACGAGCGCAACCCCUGUUGCUAGUUACAUGUGUCUAGCGAGACUGCCGGUUUAACGCCGGAGGAAGGAGGGGAUGACGUCAAGUCAGCAUGGCCUUUAUGUCCAGGGCAACACACGUGCUACAAUGGUUAGGACAAUGAGAAGCGAUACCGCGAGGUGGAGCAAAUCUAUAAACCUAAUCUCAGUUCGGAUAGCAGUCUGCAACUCGACUGCUUGAAGCUGGAAUCACUAGUAAUCGUAAAUCAGCUAUGUUACGGUGAAUACGUUCCCGGGUCU